CAUCCUUGCUCAGAACACAAGGGGAAUUCUGGGGAAUUCUCCCAGGUCCUGCCGGUGGGACAAAGGUUUCCAGGAACCCGUCCUUCACGCGGGCCUUCCUGGGCAGGGCGCGGACUGUGUGAACCUGAGAGCUCCCUGGCUGCUCCUUAAACUUCUCUAGGGCCAGGAGCCCAGCCAGCUUCUCCAACAUGCGCCCCCACAGAGCCGAUGCCCAGAAGUCCAGCACAGAUCCCACCUCCUCGGAAUCACCAAGUGCAAGUGGCAGAGGACAGGUGGACAGGUGGACAGGUGGACAGGCAAGGCCAUCCUAAAUUAGCCAACUGCUAUGCAGGGACCAAGUCCAGCGAGACCAGAAGAAGCGCCUAGUCGAGCCAGCCAAGAUCGGCAGAGCUGCCAAGGUGAACACUCAGGCACCCCCUCCUGCAUCCCACCCAAGUCGGUGCUUCAGGAUUCUCAUCUGCUUCAACACCCCCGCCCCCAGCCCGCAUCCCUGGGUCACUGCAUUCUUCCCUGGAUGACACUCGCAUGGAACAAUAGCUCAUCUACAACACAGCUCUUCUGGCUUCAGCUCAGCGGGAUGUUUUGCUAAAAUCACGAUGAUAUUUUUGGCUGGAGGCUACUGACUCAAAAUGUGCUAUGAAAGCAACUCUUACAUCUUGGGAAGCACUGGCCUGAGCUGCCUUCAAGGAACAGAAUUCUGAAUGUGCCUAAGCUGUGCUCUGCACAGAGCUCCAAGUCUUCGCUGAAUGAAUGCUGCACAAACAAGGUUCACUGCACGAUGAAUCACAACACAGUCAUUGACUACAGCAGACGGGCUCCGGAAUUUGCCUUCAUGUGUGAUCUCUGACGGCCA
Long non-coding RNA from Myotis brandtii (Brandt's bat), 853 nucleotides. RefSeq lists it as uncharacterized. Lineage: Eukaryota; Metazoa; Chordata; Mammalia; Chiroptera; Vespertilionidae. The record is from RefSeq and is a predicted model, not a curated record. The transcript has 5 exons.